UAAGUAGUAUCCAUUAAAGGGUUG
This is a non-coding RNA of Drosophila melanogaster (fruit fly), 24 nucleotides long. The record is from Ensembl. NCBI's taxonomy places the organism in Eukaryota, Metazoa, Arthropoda, Insecta, Diptera, Drosophilidae.